Molecule: long non-coding RNA, 1142 nt
Filed under: Cottoperca gobio
Lineage: Eukaryota; Metazoa; Chordata; Actinopteri; Perciformes; Bovichtidae
Description: lncRNA (ENSCGOG00000024629.1)
Source: RNAcentral
UUCUAUAACAUGGAAAUACUCAAUUUAAAGUACCUGAAAUGUACAAUACUUGAGUUAAUUUACUGAAUUACAUUUCCUCACUGGACCUCUGUCUUCAUCUGCAGGAAAGUGAGGACAUGGAGGCGCCAGCAGGAGGCGGCGGGCUGAGACGCAGGAGAACCAUCAAGAAGAAGAAACGAGUGAGUUGUUGUUGUUCACUUAAAAGAAACAUCCUUUGAGAUUUAGCUCUAUUUUAAAGUGUGUUAUAUAAAUGAAAGGUAUUAUUAUUACAUCCAGAGACGUGACAGGAAGCCGCAGGAGAACAGAAGUGUAUCUUAACAGCUGCUUCUCAGUGGUUUAACCUUUAUAUAUAGUUGGAUGUUAAAUGUUUUUUCUUUUCUUGUGUUGUUUCUCAGGUUGUGUCGUUCCGAGUCAAAACAACUCUUCCAAAAAUACCAAAGUUUAAGGCAAGUUAAAUGUAGUAGUUGUCAUGAUGGGGGACAUUAGCGAUAGAGACCAAAAGCAUUUUUAGUACCCGACUGUAAACAUGUUUAUUUGUGCUGUAAAGUUAACGUGGAGUCUCUAGAUAUUUACUCUCUUUUGAAACCAGCCUCAAGUUGACAUUCAAGGAGCGUCAGUGUUGGUUGAGACUCACUUUGCAGUUUGUAACUCUGCUCCUGUUCUUUCUCUGCAGCUUUAAACAUGUGACAGCAACAUGUUUUAGUUUGUUGAUGAUGAUUGAAAGGCUUGUCAACAACAAACCUUCUUCACAUUGUUUUUUAUUCACUUACAAACGUGUUGAGGAUGAUUAGAAGUUGUCCUGAGUAAUGUUUUGACACAAAUAAUGAAUAUUCACUUUACUUCUUUGCUGGGUUUUAAGUUGUCACAGUUUAUUACUAAGUGAAUGACGUUAACUGUUGUGUUUUCCUCCAGAGUUCAGACAAGAUGUCUGGUAUUGAGGAGGUUGUUGAGCUGCAGGAGCUGAACCCAGCACAUGACAGCACAGUGGAGGUCCAGUCUGUGGAGAUGGCAGCUUAUCCUACUGAAGGCAGUGGUCUCGCAUCUGAGCCGGUGUGUUUCUAUCAAACUUUCACACCUUCGGUUUGGUUUAUUUAGUCCUGAUUUUGUUUAGCGUUUGCUUUACUGCUUCUUAUGUGUAUAUU